CCUACGGGGGGCAGCAGUGGGGAAUAUUGGACAAUGGGGGGAACCCUGAUCCAGCCAUGCCGCGUGUGUGAAGAAGGCCCUCGGGUUGUAAAGCACUUUCAGUGAGGAAGAACGCCUGGUGGUUAAUACCCAUCAGGAAAGACAUCACUCACAGAAGAAGCACCGGCUAACUCCGUGCCAGCAGCCGCGGUAAUACGGAGGGUGCGAGCGUUAAUCGGAAUUACUGGGCGUAAAGCGCGCGUAGGUGGCUUGAUAAGCCGGUUGUGAAAGCCCCGGGCUCAACCUGGGAACGGCAUCCGGAACUGUCAAGCUAGAGUGCAGGAGAGGAAGGUAGAAUUCCCGGUGUAGCGGUAAAAUGCGUAGAGAUCGGGAGGAAUACCAGUGGCGAAGGCGGCCUUCUGGACUGACACUGACACUGAGGUGCGAAAGCGUGGGUAGCAAACAGGAUUAGAUACCCGAGUAGUC
Molecule: ribosomal RNA, 465 nt
Filed under: Vreelandella stevensii
Lineage: Bacteria; Pseudomonadati; Pseudomonadota; Gammaproteobacteria; Oceanospirillales; Halomonadaceae
Description: partial 16S ribosomal RNA
Rfam family: Bacterial small subunit ribosomal RNA
Source: RNAcentral